GAUGAACGCUAGCUACAGGCUUAACACAUGCAAGUCGAGGGGAAACGACAUCGAAAGCUUGCUUUUGAUGGGCGUCGACCGGCGCACGGGUGAGUAACGCGUAUCCAACCUGCCCAUCACUUGGGAAUAACCUUGCGAAAGUAAGACUAAUACCCAAUGACAUCCCACGAAGACAUCUGAAUGGGAUUAAAGAUUUAUCGGUGAUGGAUGGGGAUGCGUCUGAUUAGCUUGUUGGCGGGGUAACGGCCCACCAAGGCAACGAUCAGUAGGGGUUCUGAGAGGAAGGUCCCCCACAUUGGAACUGAGACACGGUCCAAACUCCUACGGGAGGCAGCAGUGAGGAAUAUUGGUCAAUGGGCGAGAGCCUGAACCAGCCAAGUAGCGUGCAGGAUGACGGCCCUAUGGGUUGUAAACUGCUUUUAGAAGGGAAGAAAGUGGGUCUCGUGAGACUUUUUGCAUGUACCUUAUGAAUAAGGACCGGCUAAUUCCGUG
RNAcentral lists this ribosomal RNA (492 nucleotides) under uncultured bacterium. RNAcentral describes it as "partial 16S ribosomal RNA". It matches the Rfam family "Bacterial small subunit ribosomal RNA", at positions 28 to 507 of the family's 1533-position model. The record is from RNAcentral.